CUUGCUGAAGUGCACACAGCAAG
RNAcentral lists this unclassified non-coding RNA (23 nucleotides) under synthetic construct. The record is from RNAcentral.